UCAGGAUGAACGCUGGCGGCGUGCUUAAUACAUGCAAGUCGAACGAAGCACUUACAGCCGAUCCCUUCGGGGUGAAGCAGUUUGUGACUUAGUGGCGGACGGGUGAGUAACGCGUGGGUAACCUGCCUUAUGCAGGGGGAUAACAGUUAGAAAUGACUGCUAAUACCGCAUAAGCGCACGGCACCGCAUGGUGCAGUGUGAAAAGAUUUAUCGGCAUAAGAUGGACCCGCGUCUGAUUAGGUAGUUGGUGAGGUAACGGCCCACCAAGCCUGCGAUCAGUAGCCGACUUGAGAGAGUGAUCGGCCACAUUGGGACUGAGACACGGCCCAGACUCCUACGGGAGGCAGCAGUAGGGAAUAUUGCACAAUGGGGGAAACCCUGAUGCAAGCGACGCCGCGUGAGUGAUGAAGUAUUUCGGUACGUAAAGCUCUAUCAGCAGGGAAGAUAAUGACGGUACCUGACUAAGAAGCCCCGGCUAACUACGUGCCAGCCGCUGC
RNAcentral lists this ribosomal RNA (497 nucleotides) under uncultured bacterium. Its description in RNAcentral is "bacterial SSU rRNA". It matches the Rfam family "Bacterial small subunit ribosomal RNA", at positions 24 to 518 of the family's 1533-position model. The record is from RNAcentral.